This 548-nucleotide long non-coding RNA is filed under the name Arabidopsis lyrata. RNAcentral describes it as "long non-coding RNA (ALYR_LNC003201)". Lineage: Eukaryota; Viridiplantae; Streptophyta; Magnoliopsida; Brassicales; Brassicaceae. The record is from RNAcentral.
UCACAAACCCUCAAUCUCUCAUACAACUCAUAUGACUUACCACACAUUGGUAGCUCAUAUUUAUAUACAAAAAAAAAACCUUAGACCUAAUCCUAACUCAAUUAGGAUCUACAAAGAUAUUAUCUUAGUUUUAGAUAUCUCCUAAAACCAUUAAAACUUUUAACCUCAAGUUAACUCAUAACUCAAGUUAACUUCUAACCAUAAGCUUCUAACUCUCAACAGCUUGGUGAUUCUCUUCCAACUUGUUGUUGGUGUUCAUCACUUGUAAAGCAUAAUUCUUCCACCAAUACGAGUACCUUGACUUGAUCAUCCUCUAUCUUGUUCGAGAAGUCAGUCUUGGUGUCGAGCUUUGGAUAUUCCGUUAAGUAGUUUCUCGACGAAAGCAUUGAACUUGUUAUGUAGGAAUCGAGUCUUUGACCAGGUCAUUGGUAUGUUUGGUACAAACGGUACGUUGGCUGGUUCAUGAGCUGGUUGUUUAGUGGCUGGAGCUAGUUUGAUGUCCUCAUCAAUAAUGAAAUUUCAUAAUAAGAUAAUUAUUUGUAUAUAUU